AAUCAACGCUGGCGGCGUGCCUCAGACAUGCAAGUCGAACGAUUAAAGCUCUCUUCGGAGAGUGUAUAGAGUGGCGCACGGGUGAGUAACACGUAAGUAAUCUACCUUCGAGUGGGAUACCGUCCGGAAACGGACGCUAAUACCGCAUAAUGCAGCGGCAUCGUAAGAUGACAGUUGUUAAAGAUUUAUCGCUUGAAGAGGAGCUUGCGGCAGAUUAGCUAGUUGGUAAGGUAAUGGCUUACCAAGGCUACGAUCUGUAACCGGUCUUAGAGGACGGUCGGUCACACUGACACUGAAUAACGGGUCAGACUCCUACGGGAGGCAGCAGUCGGGAAUUUGGGUCAAUGGGCGAAAGCCUGACCCAGCAACGCCGCGUGAAGGA
This 382-nucleotide ribosomal RNA is filed under the name uncultured bacterium. RNAcentral describes it as "bacterial SSU rRNA". It matches the Rfam family "Bacterial small subunit ribosomal RNA", at positions 32 to 408 of the family's 1533-position model. The record is from RNAcentral.